GUAAGUUUAUUCCAAUCUAUGUCCUCAAAUCUUGUUUGAUUGGUUUCAUGAAUUUGUUAAUGUUGUUUUAGCAUUAAAAUGCACGCCUUAUGAAACUUGAUUUUUGGUUUAUAUAUCAUACAUGAUAUAAAAAAUUUUACUUUGAAAUUUAUCUAUGUUUAAUUAGCUUCCUAACCUUGCUCUGGACUGCCCAAGGAAGUAUUGGGACUGAAUGAGGAAUCGUAAAUGCUGAUGCUAUCUGCUACAAACUCUUUAGGAUGAUGAUCCUUCCAGUAUUUAUAUGAUUUUAUCGUUAUAUCAGUCUGCAUAUUUUUCUGCAUAUUGUGGAUGUGUUUAUA
RNAcentral lists this unclassified non-coding RNA (338 nucleotides) under Hevea brasiliensis (rubber tree). Lineage: Eukaryota; Viridiplantae; Streptophyta; Magnoliopsida; Malpighiales; Euphorbiaceae. The record is from RNAcentral.